Molecule: long non-coding RNA, 671 nt
Filed under: Bos taurus (domestic cattle)
Lineage: Eukaryota; Metazoa; Chordata; Mammalia; Artiodactyla; Bovidae
Description: long non-coding RNA NONBTAT023999
Source: RNAcentral
CAAAACUGGGGAAAGGUUGAUUUUUUUUAAGACCUUAUUCAGAGCAAUUGAAAAAAGAUUAAAGGGAAAGGAUGAGGAGAAUUCAAGGAACUUUAGAGACUGAGUGCUAGCUCAGUAGCGUGUUAAUUAUUUAUUCCAAGUUUUAUUAUUAGUAGAUAAUCCAGUAAUACAGAAAUUGGUAGAACAGAAAUUUUGAUAACAUUUCUAUUAGAAGGCGUAUAGAACCUGAUAAACUGUAUAAAGUACACAGUUUAUCCUGUAUCUGCAUCCUCCUUCCCUUUGCUUUGCUUGGUUUAAUAGGAAUUGGCUGAUACAUAUUUAAUAAAUGGCACAAUGAAAAAAUCAGAAUUUUUAAAAAUCAAGUUACAUUUUAACCUAAAUAUGUAUUGCCUAUUUUGCUGCUUUCCCAUUACAACUGACUUUUUAAAAAAAUGGUCCUUCUGUGAUACUUUUGUCAAUAGAGGUGUUUCCUCUUAGCCAAUCCUAGCCACAGUAUUGACUGGGCCUAGGCAUUUGAUAUAUCCCAAAGGAAUUAGCCAGGAAAAGACUUGGUCCCUACUGGAAUGAAUAUUUUAAAGACCUUCUUAGAUUCUGAACACUGUGAGUACAAAUGAAAGAGACCCAAGAGAGGGAAAAACUUAAGAGCCUAAGAAUAAAGAUGAUGGUGGGGA